This 322-nucleotide ribosomal RNA is filed under the name uncultured eukaryote. RNAcentral describes it as "partial 18S ribosomal RNA". It matches the Rfam family "Eukaryotic small subunit ribosomal RNA", at positions 1470 to 1796 of the family's 1831-position model. The record is from RNAcentral.
CGCUUAGAUGUUCUGGGCCGCACGCGUGCUACACUGAGUGGAUCAGCGGGUCAGGUUGCGCGAAAGCGUUUCCUAAUCUUUAAAUCCGCUCGUGAUGGGGAUUGACGGUUGCAAUUUUCUGUCAUGAACGAGGAAUACCUUGUAAGCGCGGGUCAUCAUCCCGCGCUGAAUACGUCCCUGCCCUUUGUACACACCGCCCGUCGCUCCUACCGAUUGAGUGGUCCGGUGAGGCUUUGGGAUCUGAGCGGAAAGAGCGUUUCGCUGUUUCUGCUCGGAAAACUCAGUCGAACCUUAUCAUUUAGAGGAAGGAGAAGUCGUAACA